This 484-nucleotide ribosomal RNA is filed under the name uncultured bacterium. Its description in RNAcentral is "partial 16S ribosomal RNA". It matches the Rfam family "Bacterial small subunit ribosomal RNA", at positions 30 to 507 of the family's 1533-position model. The record is from RNAcentral.
AUUGAACGCUGGCGGCAGGCCUAACACAUGCAAGUCGAGCGGAUGAAGGGAGCUUGCUCCUGGAUUCAGCGGCGGACGGGUGAGUAAUGCCUAGGAAUCUGCCUGGUAGUGGGGGAUAACGUCCGGAAACGGGCGCUAAUACCGCAUACGUCCUGAGGGAGAAAGUGGGGGAUCUUCGGACCUCACGCUAUCAGAUGAGCCUAGGUCGGAUUAGCUAGUUGGUGGGGUAAAGGCCUACCAAGGCGACGAUCCGUAACUGGUCUGAGAGGAUGAUCAGUCACCCUGGAACUGAGACACGGUCCAGACUCCUACGGGAGGCAGCAGUGGGGAAUAUUGGACAAUGGGCGAAAGCCUGAUCCAGCCAUGCCGCGUGUGUGAAGAAGGUCUUCGGAUUGUAAAGCACUUUUAGUUGGGAGGAAGGGCAGUAAGUUAAUACCUUGCUGUUUUGACGUUACCAACAGAAUAAGCACCGGCUAACUUCGUG